GACGAACGCUGGCGGCGUGCCUAAUACAUGCAAGUUGAGCGCUGAAGGUUGGUACUUGUACCGACUGGAUGAGCAGCGAACGGGUGAGUAACGCGUGGGGAAUCUGCCUUUGAGCGGGGGACAACAUUUGGAAACGAAUGCUAAUACCGCAUAAAAACUUUAAACACAAGUUUUAAGUUUGAAAGAUGCAAUUGCAUCACUCAAAGAUGAUCCCGCGUUGUAUUAGCUAGUUGGUGAGGUAAAGGCCCACCAAGGCGAUGAUACAUAGCCGACCUGAGAGGGUGAUCGGCCACAUUGGGACUGAGGCACGGCCCAAACUCCUACGGGGGGCAGCAGUAGGGAAUCUUCGGCAAUGGACGAAAGUCUGACCGAGCAACGCCGCGGGAGUGAAGAAGGUUUUCGGAUCGUAAAACUCUGUUGGUAGAGAAGAACGUUGGUGAGAGUGGAAAGCUCAUCAAGUGACGGUAACUACCCAGAAAGGGACGGCUAACUACGUG
This 497-nucleotide ribosomal RNA is filed under the name uncultured bacterium. RNAcentral's name for it is "partial 16S ribosomal RNA". It matches the Rfam family "Bacterial small subunit ribosomal RNA", at positions 28 to 507 of the family's 1533-position model. The record is from RNAcentral.